CCCGGGAACGUAUUCACCGUGGCAUUCUGAUCCACGAUUACUAGCGAUUCCGACUUCACGGAGUCGAGUUGCAGACUCCGAUCCGGACUACGACAUACUUUCUGGGAUUCGCUCCACCUCGCGGUCUUGCUGCCCUCUGUAUAUGCCAUUGUAGCACGUGUGUAGCCCUACUCGUAAGGGCCAUGAUGACUUGACGUCGUCCCCACCUUCCUCCGGUUUAUCACCGGCAGUCUCCCUGGAGUUCCCACCCGAAGUGCUGGCAAACAAGGAUAAGGGUUGCGCUCGUUGCGGGACUUAACCCAACAUUUCACAACACGAGCUGACGACAGCCAUGCAGCACCUGUCUCAGAGUUCCCGAAGGCACACUCGAAUCUCUUCAAGCUUCUCUGGAUGUCAAGAGUAGGUAAGGUUCUUCGCGUUGCAUCGAAUUAAACCACAUGCUCCACCGCUUGUGCGGGCCCCCGUCAAUUCAUUUGAGUUUUAAUCUUGCGACCGUACUCCCCAGGCGGUCUACUUAACGCGUUAGCUCCGAAAGCCACGGCUCAAGGCCACAACCUCCAAGUAGACAUCGUUUACGGCGUGGACUACCAGGGUAUCUAA
Molecule: ribosomal RNA, 600 nt
Filed under: Photobacterium damselae subsp. damselae
Lineage: Bacteria; Pseudomonadati; Pseudomonadota; Gammaproteobacteria; Vibrionales; Vibrionaceae
Description: partial 16S ribosomal RNA
Source: RNAcentral